RNAcentral lists this ribosomal RNA (433 nucleotides) under uncultured bacterium. RNAcentral describes it as "partial 16S ribosomal RNA". It matches the Rfam family "Bacterial small subunit ribosomal RNA", at positions 29 to 507 of the family's 1533-position model. The record is from RNAcentral.
AACGAACGCUGGCGGCAUGCCUAACACAUGCAAGUCGAACGAGACCUUCGGGUGUAGUGGCGCACGGGUGCGUAACGCGGGGGAACCUGCCCUUAGGUUCGGAAUAACUCCCCGAAGGGGGUGCUAAUACCGGGUAAUGUCUUCGGACCAAAGAUUUAUCGACUUUGGAUGGGCCCGCGUUGGAUUAGCUAGUUGGUAGGGUAAAAGCCUACCAAGGCGACGAUACAUAGCUGGUCUGAGAGGAUGAUCAGCCACACUGGGAGUGAGACACGGCCCAGACUCCUACGGGAGGCAGCAGUGGGGAAUAUUGGACAACGGGCGAAAGCCUGAUCCAGCAAUGCCGCGUGAGUGAUGAAGGCCUUAGGGUUGUAAAGCUCUUUUAUCCGGGAUGAUAAUGACAGUACCGGGAGAAUAAGCUCCGGCUAACUCCGUG